Anguilla rostrata (American eel) is the source of this 5978-nucleotide RNA transcript. It is a transcript of the gene named H-2 class II histocompatibility antigen, A-U alpha chain-like, with no coding region annotated. The record is from RefSeq and is a predicted model, not a curated record. Lineage: Eukaryota; Metazoa; Chordata; Actinopteri; Anguilliformes; Anguillidae. The transcript has 6 exons.
UUCACAGAUAGUCUACUUUGCAUACACACAAGCUGCUGCACAUUCACAAAAGACACAGGACCAGAGCAGAACCAGUCCCUGCUGUCUGAAUUUGAGGAUGAAUCACUCCAUAUUCACAGCUGUGCUGCUGGGAGCAAUCUGUGUUCUUUUUAAGGCUCAGGCUCAUAUAGAUAUUAACGUUGUAGCCUGCCAGACCAAUGACACUGCUCCAGAGGAUGAGAAACAGCAGGAUGGAGAGGAAAUGUUUUAUGUAGACUUUAAAAACAAUGCAGUCAUUUACACCAUACCUGAGUUUGUUGAUAAAUUUACGUAUCCAGGCUGGAUGGCAUCUGCACUGGUUAAUCAUGCGGUCUGCAUUCAUAACUUGAACGGGGCUGUUAAAGCUGAAAAGGACCCACCUGAGCAAAUAGAUCCUCCUCAGAGCACAAUCUUUUCAAGGGAAGAAGUUGAGCUGGGGAAGAGUAACAGUCUGAUCUGCUUUGUGACCAACUUCUAUCCGGCUCCUGUCAAAGUGAAGUGGACCAAGAAUAAUGUUGAAGUGAAGGAUGGAGUGACUCUAAGCCGCUACUAUCCAAACCCUGAUUUGACGUUCCAACAGUUCUCCACUCUGAGCAUCACUCCCCAGGAGGGGGAUGUCUAUUCCUGCAGCGUGGAGCACAAGGGGCUUCCGGAACCCCUAACCAGGAUCUGGGAGCCUGAAGCUAACAAUGAACCAAACACGGCAGCGACAGCGUUCUGUGGAAUAGGACUGACCCUGGGUCUGCUGGGAGUGGGAGUUGGAACUUUCUUCCUCAUCAAAGGAAAUAACUGCAACUAAAAGAGUGAGACCGGGAGGUUUUUCACAGCAGAUGCACAUGGUGCCAGACAGCAACAGCAACAGCAACAGCCACAGCCACGACUACAGCAUCAGCAUCAGCACCAGCACCAGAUACCGCAAAUGUGCCAGCGUUCAGUCGCAAUCAAAUAAAACCGUGUGCAUCCGUCGUGAAAAAACCUCCCGCACUCACUACAGACACGAAUAAUAAGCAAAACAUUAACAAGACAGACAAACACUGCAUUCACUAGUGUCACCAAAUAAUCAUGAGCCUGUCUUACAUUUUAUGUUUCAGACCCUUUAAAACAAAUUCCUUUUAAAUGAUCAGGCAAAUCCUAUCAGCCUAUCUGACUAAAUACUACUAUUGCACAUAAGCAACAAGUCAAUAGAUGUAAACACCUAGUACUAACAGGCACAUGGCCAACAAAGCACCUGGUUAAGAAGAAGUAAAAGUUGAAACUGGGUAAACAAGGGAAACACAGCACAUUGAAGGUAAGAAGUCCCUUUCUAAAAUCCUUCAAAUAUAUAGAAGGGACCAGGGAGAAUUUGCUCCCUCUGCCUACUAUACUUUACUCCCAAAAGUGCAUUCUUUUUUCAUGGGCUUUUUCAGCUUUAUUGGAUAGGAUAGUGAAGAGAGACAGGAAGAACGGGGAUGAGUGGGAGAGACAUGCGAACAUGUUGUGCGGUCGGAUGCGAACUGCUGAUGUCGCGGCUCGCAAUGAGCAAGUGGAUAGUGCUCUACAGGCUACGCCAUGAGACACCCCCCAGAAGUACAUUCUACACAGAUUCUACAUGCUCAGUACUAACAAUUCAGUCUUCCGAACUUCUCUAAUAUUCUCAAUGCCCAAGUAGUUUUCUUAUUGUGCGCUCUCCUUUACAUACUUUCUUCCCACUUAAAACCCAGGGCUGCGUUUCCCAGAGUCUCCUUAGCGCUACGUGCGUCGUAAGGUAUCCCUUAAGCUCUUCCUUUAGCUCUCAAGCUGUUUCCCAGCGUCUCCUUAGCUAAGGUAUACCUUAAUUAAGGUAUACCUUUAAAAGGGUGGUCUGAGGCACUUGUAAGCUGUCCCUUAGCGCUGCGCUCCAGUAAUCCUGUCACAGUUUUGCCUUAUUAUUCCAACAUUAUGCUUUUCAAAUCGACAGUUGUACUACAGUGCGCAUCUAGUACCACAUAGGCAUGCGAAAAUGAGUUUAAUAUUAACUUUAGGAAAAGUAAUUAUCCAAUCAACGUGUCUGUGCAUAGCACGUCGUGAGAAUGUUGUCGUUUUAACUGUCUAUCCCCAUCAUGAUGGUAAUUAAGUAUAGGGCCUAUCCAUGAUACUAAUCCAAUUUGUGAAAAGAAAAAAAAAGUUUUUUUAAAUUUAUACUUAGUGGCACUAACUUAAGACAUGGCUUUUCUGACUGCAUACCCUGUAGAAAUGAGUUCGUUUGUGUGUGAGUCAAUGAUCACACUGACUUGGAACAAACUGCCGGUUUAUUAAGAAUAUAAAACAACGUUGAGUGAGUCUACUUGCAUGACCAAACUAGAGCACGUUGAUUGGACAUAAACACACAUACAGGUACAGUGGCUCAUAAUGGACAAACAUAGCCAAAUGAUCUACAUCCCCUUCCUUUAGCUCACACCUCCUAUAUAAAACAAAAUAGCACUGGGUAAAUAUCAACAUUACGGAACAUUUUUCUUACCAUGUUGUUUUAUGGUUUUAGGUAAACAACAAAAUAAUGAUAUUCUUGGUUAAAUUUAAGAUUAUCCAACAGCAAAUUAAGGUGGAUGAACAAAUCACUUUAACAGGUAGACCUAUUCAUAAGGCACCCGGUAUAGAAUUCAUCAUGAUCAAUUUCCACAGACGCGCUUUUGCCUUUCAUCUACGAUCAUUUUUGCAUUGCAGAGAAAAGUUUGCGGGAAUCAGUGCAGUGCAGUGAUAUGCUGCUACGGUCGCCUAUAUAUUGCGUGACAAAAACAAAUUAACAUUAGACCUUUGUUUCAAUAAGAACAAAAUAAUUCACCCAUAUGUAGCCUAUAUCCUUUUCCCUGGGCUUCCACAAAGUCCCAGACUAUGGCUUAUAUGUCCCGAUUGAUGCUUUUUAUUUUAUCCUUUGUAGCCUAUAUGUACGUAUUUAUUGAAACUAUCACAACGUCUCGUCUUAACGGACUCUUAAAGAGAUUAGCAGAUGAUCUCUAGUAGGCAUAGCUUCCUCUUCUGCAAUAUUAGAUUGAUGUAAAAUGAUUAUGACAACACUUGUUAUAUUAAAACGUCAUUCACAAGCCUUUACAAGUGAGACAAUCGAUUCGCUUGGCAUCGAUUGAUAAACUUUUCAGAACCACAGUGAAGGCCAGCUCCAACUUACGAUGUACCUUUAAGUUGUCCCUUAAGAGUUGCCUUAAGGUAUAGUCUGGGAAACACUCGUAAAAAAGCGGUUUCCCUUAAGAAGGUAUACCUUAAGAACCUUCGUAAAACGUUAAGGUACAUCGAAACUCUUUUCACAAAUUGGAUUAGUAUCAUGGAUAGGCCCUAUACUUAAUUACCAUCAUGAUGGGGAUAGACAGGUAAAACGACAACAUUCUCACGACGUGCUAUGCACAGAAACGUUGAUUGGAAAAUUAAUUUUCGUAAAAAGUUCAUAUUAAACUAUCUAUGUAAUUUUCGCAUGCAGAUGUGCUACUAGAUGCGCACUGUAGUACAACUGUCGAUUUGAAAAGCAAAAUGUUGGCGUAAUAAGGCUGAAACCACGGAGCGCAGCGUUAAGGGACAGCUUACGAGUGCCCCAGACCCCCCUUUUAAAGGUAUACCUUAACUAAGGAGACGCUGGGAAACAGCUCAAGAGCUAAAGGAAGAGCUUAAGGGAUAACUUACGACGCACGUAGCGCUAAGGAGACUCUGGGAAACGCAGCCCAUAUUUAUAGGAAAAAGUACUAAAUCCCCUGAUCCUAUGGGAGUCUGACUCUGUAAACAUACUGGACAUAUUUAUUCUGGGAACCAAAAAAGAAAUACAAUAAUUGUUUUGUAUUUUCUUUAUUCUGUAGGGAUUAUAUGUACUUCUGAUAUCAGGUGGAACCAGAUUCCUUUUUUCAAUCGUAACCCAGGAUGUAUACAACACCAGAUUAAAAGUGGAGUGGAUUGAACAAGGCAGUAAAAUCUGUGAUGCGUUUUCCAAGAAGUCGGCCCAAAUCUCCUGAAAACCUCUCCAAAUAGCACCAAACGUCUCCAAAUUGGAUUAUUGUAUAUAUAUUUUCUCCCAGCCAUAUUCCACUUCUAGAAGCUAAUUCCAUUGAUGGUUGUACCCUCUGGAACAUUGCUGUCGUUUUGGAGAGAUUCUAUGUACAAAAUGUGUUCAUGGUUAGUUAUCACACCAACUAAAUUAAGUUAAAAACAACCAAACCUCUUGGUUUUACCUUACUGAGUAAUCUAAAUUCAGCUGCCAUACUUCUGGAAAACAGGCUUGUAACAGUAAACCUCCUGAUGACAACAGAGUGAGGGCUCACAAGGAGGAAAAUGACAAAAAUAUAUAAUCGAAUCAUAAACGAAUUAAAAUAAUAUUGUGCCCUUUAUCACUACUGCAGUGUCUUUUUGCAGAUAAACAAACAAAGCUCAGAUAAGCAACCGAUAAAGUGUGCGCUAAGCUUCCAUUCAUGCAUUCAUUCCAUUCCGAUGCAAAAACGUGAAGUGAGUCAGUACAGUAGAAUAGCAAAGCCGUAGUUUCACCUAGAAGGAAGUUGUAAACUGCGUUCGAAAUCUACACUGAGCUUGAAGAACACGACACUGUAUGAUUACUGUAACGUAUAUGGGGUUUCCAAGCAGGGGCUAAAGUCAAGACCCGCUUAGAGAGGGUCAAUGUUUUCAGGUAGUACAGUAGCUUGCUUUUAGGCUAUUUACUCGGCACUGGAAUGUCUAAUUCAAAUCAUUUUUUCACUGUUUGUAAGGUAAGAAGUUGCUUUUUUUUUAUAGAAAAACUGCACUUUUCGCAUUUGAAAUUCUAUUUGCAUACAUAGAAAAGUUUGUGUUCAAAUCCUCCUGAAAAGGUUUUCGGCUUAAUGGAAAUAAUGCAGAAUGCAUGGUGACAUUUACUUGUCUGUGUACAAAGAGCAGAUUGAUUACUUAGGGCUCUGAGGGGGAUUUCAAGAUAUCAAUAUCAUCACCGUAGUAUUAGGGUGUCAAUUUCAGCCAUACUUUGGGGAAGGGGACUGCCUUGUUAUUUAGUUUGUUUUUUAUUUUUUUUUUAUGAUUUUACUGAUCGAGACAGGGUUUUUUGCAUCAAAGUGCGUAGAGUAUAAGCUUUACAGUGGUGUAGGUGUUACAGCAGUGUGCCUUGAAUUAGUGACGGAUAAAAGCAAUGAUUUACCUGCCGGCAACCUCAAGGAAUUCAUUAGGUUAAUUUAUUUCCAGUUUGCAUAAGUUGAUAUUUGCAUUGUUAAUGUAUCAAUUGGUAAGUUUUAUAACAUAAGUACAUUAUUGUACUGGGAUUAUUGGCUAAACAAUUGUUUAUCCCCUAGAGUGACAUCAGCCAACUGAAUUGAAACUAAUUAAAUAUUGUAUACAUGGACAUGAAUCAUUGAUCAGCCCUGUAUUCUGUGGCAAACUAUAGCCUAAGCUGUGCUUUUGACUGCAUGCUACAAUUGAUUAAAAUUCUAGUUUACCUUUCAUUUUAGAAUCUAUUGCCACUGAGUUGUAGUAUACAGUCAAAAUGCUUGUAGUAUUAUCAGUCAGGUGUCUUUUUCUUCUUUUUUUGCUUUCCAAAACAGGAGAUUUUAGGGUCUUAACUCUGGAGAAUCACUACUAGUAAUUCUCCAUUAAUAAUUCUCAAUUAAUAAUCUUAUCCAUUAUAACAUGCGUUAAAUUUUUGCAAUGCAAUAUAACUGGAUAAAGGAAUCCGUGCAAACCCACAUUUUCAUAAAUGUACUGCCUUGAUUCAUUUCAAAAGUACCACAGGACACCACUUGCUAAAUAUCGUGGUCAAACACUCACUCAGUAUAUUUUGCAAAUGUACUGUGAGUUUAAUGUAAAUGUUAAACAUCGGUUGGUUCACAUGAAUUAUGAUAAGUCUUUAAAUAAUAUUUUUUUUCAUUUUGUCCAGGUCUUCAUGAAGACUCAAGAUCAAGACAUGGAGAAGACUCAUGAACUCAUGAUCAGUUUCUUCAGUGUGUUAAAAUAAAUUUCCUUCAUGUUGUAAA